AUUGAACGCUGGCGGCAUGCCUUACACAUGCAAGUCGAACGGUAACGCGGGGCAACCUGGCGACGAGUGGCGAACGGGUGAGUAAAGCAUCGGAACGUGCCCAGUAGUGGGGGAUAGCCCGGCGAAAGCCGGAUUAAUACCGCAUACGACCUAUGGGUGAAAGGGGGGGAUCGCAAGACCUCUCGCUAUUGGAGCGGCCGAUGUCAGAUUAGGUAGUUGGUGGGGUAAAGGCCUACCAAGCCGACGAUCUGUAGCUGGUCUGAGAGGACAACCAGCCACACUAGGUCUGUGACACGGCCCAGCGUCAUACGGGAGGCAGCAGUGGGGAAUUGUGGACAAUGGGCGCAUGCCUGGACCAGUAAUGCCGCGUGCGGGAAGAGUGCCUUGGGGUUGUAAACCGCUUUUGUCAGGGAAGAAGUCCUUUGGGUUAAUCCCUCGGGGGGAUGACGGUACCUGAAGAAUAAGCACCGGCUAACUACGUGCCAGCAGCCGCCGUAA
Molecule: ribosomal RNA, 498 nt
Filed under: uncultured bacterium
Lineage: Bacteria
Description: partial 16S ribosomal RNA
Rfam family: Bacterial small subunit ribosomal RNA
Source: RNAcentral